RNAcentral lists this ribosomal RNA (259 nucleotides) under uncultured bacterium. RNAcentral describes it as "partial 16S ribosomal RNA". It matches the Rfam family "Bacterial small subunit ribosomal RNA", at positions 524 to 776 of the family's 1533-position model. The record is from RNAcentral.
UACGUAGGGGGCAAGCGUUGUCCGGAAUUAUUGGGCGUAAAGAGCGUGUAGGCGGCCCGGGCAAGUCCGCCGUGAAAGUCCAGGGCUCAACCCUGGAAUGCCGGUGGAAACUGUCGGGCUUUGAGUUUCGGAAGAGGCGAGUGGAAUUCCUGGUGUAGCGGUGAAAUGCGGCAGAUAUCAGGAGGAACACCAAUGGCGAAGGCAGCUCGCUUGGAACGGUACUGACGCUGGAGGCGCGAAAGCGUGGGGAGCGAACAGG